GUUGGGGAAAACCGUUGGAAACGACGGCUAAUACCGGGAUGUGGCGCCCGGAGACAUCUCGGAGCGCUAAAGGGGCCGCAAGGCUCCCGCUCGAGGAGGGGCUCGCGCACCAUCAGCUUGUGGCGGGUAACGGCCCACCAAGGCAUACGGUUAGCUGGUCUGAGAGGAUGACCAGCCCCACUGGGACUGAGAUACUGCCCAGACUCCUACGGGAGGCUGCAGUCGAGGAUCAUUUGCAAUGGGCGAAAGCCUGACAAUGCGACGCUGCGUGGAGGGAACUGAAGGCCUUCGGGUUGUAAAACUCCUGUCAUGAGGGAACAGGCGAGGGUACCCAAUACGUACCUUAGUUGAGUGUACUUCAAGAGGAAGGGACGGCUAACUCUGUGCCAGCCGCUGC
This 397-nucleotide ribosomal RNA is filed under the name uncultured bacterium. RNAcentral describes it as "bacterial SSU rRNA". It matches the Rfam family "Bacterial small subunit ribosomal RNA", at positions 136 to 518 of the family's 1533-position model. The record is from RNAcentral.